Long non-coding RNA from Etheostoma spectabile (orangethroat darter), 101 nucleotides. RefSeq lists it as uncharacterized. The transcript has 3 exons. Lineage: Eukaryota; Metazoa; Chordata; Actinopteri; Perciformes; Percidae. The record is from RefSeq and is a predicted model, not a curated record.
UGAUUUUACAUAAAGGACCAGCAGGACUUCCCCAGUCAGGUCCACACUGAGUCCUGGUUUCUCUGGUUGUGUUCCUCCUCAGAGUCCAUCCAGCAGAGCUG